AAAAAUAAUCCUUUCUCUUUGUCUUCAGGUGCAAAAUCUCCCAGAUGCAAAUUGCAAAUCACCAAGGGCAUCAACGCCUAGGAAGUGUUCGAAUCCCUGUCACCUUUGUCAGGAACCCUUUUCUUAUGAUUGUCUGAUCUGCUCUGUGGGAGCUGAGAUACACACACCCACGACACACACCACACGGAAGAUUAGGGCUAGCAGGAUUUGCAAGUUUGCCCAACCUUCUUGUUUUUUCAAAGAUAGAAGCCAAGAUAUCGACAGGAGUUAGGGUGGGGGGUGUCACUUGCCCAAGGGCACACAGCAAUUUAACACAAUAAACUUAGUGCAUCUCUUUGGAGGAGCUCUUAUACGCCCACCACGCAUACUUUAUUAAGUUAAUUCACUAAAUGCACUUCUCUAGCCCAGGCCAAAAGUGAACUGGGGUUGAAAUCAGCCAAUAUGGCUGAUACCAAGGGAUAGCCAGCUCCAUGGGAGAGGCAGACAGGCUGUCCAACCAGCACGUGAAUACCCAGAGCUCCUGGGUUGUAAGAACAUAGGUAGCUCAGAGCCUGUUUCCUAAAUCAAUGUGCUUAAGAGACCCCAUUGUGGCAUUCCCCACCAUGAGGAGAGAAAGCCAGCCGAGAGACAGAAGAGUGAGCCUGGGUUUAUCCUUGGGUUAAAAGCAGGAAGCAGAAUUAGCAAGCAGCUGGGGCUUCUGUAGGAGGAGGGGUGCAGGGUGUCCAGGAUUCUGGUAGCUACAGGCUUGGUGCAUACAGGGCGCUAACCCAGCAGACAGAACAGCCCCAGGAGCUGGUAAAAGGGACUGUAGCACCUGCCUGAGCUUGUACAGACCCUUGUCCAGUCCCCACUUGUGGAGGGCGUCUGCCUGGGUAAUGUGCGCUGGCUAAGGGGAAGGCACAGAGCUGCCUGGAGAAUGGCUUCUGUCCUCAGCACUUCUUUAUUACAGGUGAAAAUUGCUAAAUGACUUCUCUGGUGACAGACAAAGAGUUCGGAGGAGGGAAGGAUUGCUCCCAGGUGGGAAUGGAAUCUAAGAAGGCUUCCUGGAGGAAGUAGCAUCUAAGACUUGAAGACCAGAAAGGAUUUAAAGACAAGAAGAUGGGAGGAAGGAAGACCAGGAAAUGGCAAGGAGAGGAAACAACACAAAGGCUGGAAGGACAGAAGACGAGGAAGAAGUGCUCGUGGGGUUUCCAAGAGGAAACACUCAGCAAUAAGCAGGCUCUUCAAACCUGAGACGUGCUGGGUCUCCAUCAAAAUCCUGAGGACCCAGCUCAGCACCUGCCAUCCUUCCCCGGGGAACUCACCUGGGCUGUGGAAGAUUUGAGAGACUGUGGUAAAGCCUUUGGACCUGGAGGCCUUCAGGGCCUGGUGG
Long non-coding RNA from Aethalodelphis obliquidens (Pacific white-sided dolphin), 1372 nucleotides. RefSeq lists it as uncharacterized. Lineage: Eukaryota; Metazoa; Chordata; Mammalia; Artiodactyla; Delphinidae. The record is from RefSeq and is a predicted model, not a curated record. The transcript is spliced from 3 exons.